GAUGAACGCUGGCGGCGUGCCUAAUACAUGCAAGUCGAGCGAACAGACGAGGAGCUUGCUCCUCUGACGUUAGCGGCGGACGGGUGAGUAACACGUGGAUAACCUACCUAUAAGACUGGGAUAACUUCGGGAAACCGGAGCUAAUACCGGAUAAUAUAUUGAACCGCAGGGUUCAAUAGUGAAAGACGGUUUUGCUGUCACUUAUAGAUGGAUCCGCGCCGCAUUAGCGAGUUGGUAAGGUAACGGCUUACCAAGGCAACGAUGCGUAGCCGACCUGAGAGGGUGAUCGGCCACACUGGAGCUGGGACACGGUCCAGACUCCUACGGGAGGCAGCAGUAGGGAAUCUUCCGCAAUGGGCGAAAGCCUGACGGAGCAGCGCCGCGUGAGUGAUGAAGGUCUUCGGAUCGUAAAACUCUGUUAUUAGGGAAGAACAAAUGUGUAAGUAACUAUGCCCGUCUUGACGGUACCUAAUCAGAAAGCCCCGGCUAACUACGUG
This 497-nucleotide ribosomal RNA is filed under the name uncultured bacterium. RNAcentral describes it as "partial 16S ribosomal RNA". It matches the Rfam family "Bacterial small subunit ribosomal RNA", at positions 28 to 507 of the family's 1533-position model. The record is from RNAcentral.